Molecule: ribosomal RNA, 499 nt
Filed under: uncultured Glomeromycotina
Lineage: Eukaryota; Fungi; Glomeromycota
Description: partial small subunit ribosomal RNA
Rfam family: Eukaryotic small subunit ribosomal RNA
Source: RNAcentral
CCAAUAGCGUAUAUUAAAGUUGUUGCAGUUAAAAAGCUCGUAGUUGAAUUUCGGGAUCAAGGGAUCGGUCAUGCCUUGGUAUGUACUGGUUUCAUUGGUUCUCACCUUCUAAAGAACCAUGAUGUCAUUCAUUUGAUGUUAUGGGGAAUUAGGACUGUUACCUUGAAAAAAUUAGAGUGUUUAAAGCAGGCUCACGCUUGAAUACAUUAGCAUGGAAUAACGAAAUAGGACGUUUGAUUCUAUUUUGUUGGUUUCUAGGAUCGACGUAAUGAUUAAUAGGGAUAGUUGGGGGCAUUAGUAUUCAAUUGUCAGAGGUGAAAUUCUUGGAUUUAUUGAAGACUAACUACUGCGAAAGCAUUUGCCAAGGAUGUUUUCAUUAAUCAAGAACGAAAGUUAGGGGAUCGAAGACGAUCAGAUACCGUCGUAGUCUUAACCAUAAACUAUGCCGACUAGGGAUCGGAUGAUGUUAAUUUUUUAAUGACUCAUUCGGCGCCUUACG